RNAcentral lists this ribosomal RNA (445 nucleotides) under uncultured soil bacterium. RNAcentral describes it as "bacterial SSU rRNA". It matches the Rfam family "Bacterial small subunit ribosomal RNA", at positions 26 to 474 of the family's 1533-position model. The record is from RNAcentral.
AGAUUGAACGCUGGCGGCAUGCUUUACACAUGCAAGUCGAACGGUAACAGGCCGCAAGGUGCUGACGAGUGGCGAACGGGUGAGUAAUGCAUCGGAACGUGCCCAGUCGUGGGGGAUAACGCAGCGAAAGCUGUGCUAAUACCGCAUACGAUCUAUGGAUGAAAGCGGGGGGACCAAAGGCCUCGCGCGAUUGGAGCGGCCGAUGUCAGAUUAGCUAGUUGGUGGGGUAAAGGCCCACCAAGGCGACGAUCUGUAGCUGGUCUGAGAGGACGACCAGCCACACUGGGACUGAGACACGGCCCAGACUCCUACGGGAGCAGCAGUGGGGAAUUUUGGACAAUGGGCGAAAGCCUGAUCCAGCCAUGCCGCGUGCAGGAUGAAGGCCUUGGUUGUAAACUGUCUUUUGGUACGUAACGAAAAGUCUACUUUACUAAGUUAAACGAGG